CCCGGGAGGAAGGUGGGGAUGACGUCAAGUCCUCAUGGCCCUUAUAGGUGGGGCUACACACGUCAUACAAUGGCUGGUACAAAGGGUUGCCAACCCGCGAGGGGGAGCCAAUCCCAUAAAGCCAGUCGUAGUCCGGAUCGCAGUCUGCAACUCGACUGCGUGAAGUCGGAAUCGCUAGUAAUCGUGGAUCAGCAUGUCACGGUGAAUACGUUCCCGGGUCUU
This 222-nucleotide ribosomal RNA is filed under the name uncultured Comamonas sp. RNAcentral's name for it is "partial 16S ribosomal RNA". It matches the Rfam family "Bacterial small subunit ribosomal RNA", at positions 1161 to 1382 of the family's 1533-position model. Lineage: Bacteria; Pseudomonadati; Pseudomonadota; Betaproteobacteria; Burkholderiales; Comamonadaceae. The record is from RNAcentral.